This 1109-nucleotide long non-coding RNA is filed under the name Lynx pardinus (Iberian lynx). The record is from RNAcentral. Lineage: Eukaryota; Metazoa; Chordata; Mammalia; Carnivora; Felidae.
CCUUUGAGUUUCAGUCCUACUGUGCUGGGGAGGUUCUGACACAACCUUCAGUGAGCACCUCCCCCCAGCCCCAGGGAGCAGAAGUACCUACUUUCAGCCCUAAUAAUACCUGAAUGAGAUUUAUAGGACACCUUCCUCCCCAGAGUGCAAAGCUCCUUCUCACAUGUUAUUUCUCUUGUCUUUAGAUUGUCCUGUGAAGUGUGAUGGGACAGCCUCUUUUCAGCUUCUCCGAAAAUGGAGACAGAGAGGAAAACUGCGGGUCUUGCCAAGGGCACGGGAUCAGAAUCCAGAGCCACGCCACUCCAGGACACUGGAGAUGGUCACAUCAAGCAGAAGUCGAAGCUGCGGGAGCCGCUGUCCUGAGGCUGCAGCGGGCAGGGGCCAGGAUGGAGGAGGCGGCCCUGGGCAAAGGGGCAAGCUCCACCCCUACCCGUGCCCACCUAGGACUUGGCAAAGGACCUGGGGACACGCGCCCUGACCGUCCAUCCUGCCGGGAGGGGCCUCUGCCUUUGGCCAGCGGGCCCCCGUUUCUGCCCUUGUCACACCACGUGCCUGUUUCAGGUCUGCGGUACUCUGACCAGGCCUCCAGCAGACAGAAGCUCUUUGCUCUCCGUACGUCCGCCCCAGAGGACCGAGGGCAGCAGUCUGCGAGGUGGCCAAAGCAAGGGGCUCCAGCCUUCUAGGAGUUAACGACUCCCUCUCCCCAGCUGUCCUCCCCUUGGUGCUCCUCUUCCUCCCUCCUGCCGCUCACAGCAGGCAGGGCCUGGACCUGGGAGCCAGUGCCGCUGUGCUGUUGCCAGGGGAGCUGGGAGGCGGACCUGAGCUAUGCAGGGAAAAGGCCCGGCCUGUCAAAGUGUCUGAGAUGAACCGCCGCCGUCCCCGUGCAGCUGGGCUCAGACGUGUCUCAGCUCUUGUUCUGUGCCUGAGAAUGGCGAAGCCCAGUGAGGUUCAAGGGCACACUCACUAUUCAUUAGUCAGGGGUUCUUGACGUCCCGUCUCUCCCAGGGAUGAGAUCCCCCCCCCCUUCCUCUUUCUCUCCCUCUUGCGACACAUUCCUGGGUGCCUUUGGCAAGGACUGCACCCUCCUCUUCCUCCUGCCCAACCCCCUC